UUAGUGGCGGACGGGUGAGUAACGCGUGGAAAACCUGCCGUAUACUGGGGGAUAACACUUAGAAAUAGGUGCUAAUACCGCAUAAGCGCACAGCUUCGCAUGAAGCGGUGUGAAAAACUCUGGUGGUAUACGAUGGUUCCGCGUCUGAUUAGCUAGUUGGUGGGGUAAUGGCCUACCAAGGCAACGAUCAGUAGCCGGCCUGGGAGGGUGAACGGCCACAUUGGGACUGAGACACGGCCCAAACUCCUACGGAAGGCAGCAG
RNAcentral lists this ribosomal RNA (262 nucleotides) under uncultured bacterium. RNAcentral's name for it is "partial 16S ribosomal RNA". It matches the Rfam family "Bacterial small subunit ribosomal RNA", at positions 92 to 354 of the family's 1533-position model. The record is from RNAcentral.